Molecule: ribosomal RNA, 425 nt
Filed under: uncultured bacterium
Lineage: Bacteria
Description: partial 16S ribosomal RNA
Rfam family: Bacterial small subunit ribosomal RNA
Source: RNAcentral
GUGGGGAAUAUUGCACAAUGGGGGAAACCCUGAUGCAGCAACGCCGCGUGAAGGAAGAAGUAUUUCGGUAUGUAAACUUCUAUCAGCAGGGAAGAAAAUGACGGUACCUGACUAAGAAGCCCCGGCUAACUACGUGCCAGCAGCCGCGGUAAUACGUAGGGGGCAAGCGUUAUCCGGAUUUACUGGGUGUAAAGGGAGCGUAGGUGGUAUGGCAAGUCAGAUGUGAAAGCCCGGGGCUCAACCCCGGGACUGCAUUUGAAACUGCCAGACUAGAGUGCAGGAGAGGUAAGUGGAAUUCCUAGUGUAGCGGUGAAAUGCGUAGAUAUUAGGAGGAACACCAGUGGCGAAGGCGGCUUACUGGACUGUAACUGACACUGAGGCUCGAAAGCGUGGGGAGCAAACAGGAUUAGAAACCCCGGUAGUCC